Non-coding RNA from Tetranychus urticae (two-spotted spider mite), 2141 nucleotides. Lineage: Eukaryota; Metazoa; Arthropoda; Arachnida; Trombidiformes; Tetranychidae. The record is from RefSeq and is a predicted model, not a curated record.
CGUGUAAACAUUAAAUAUGGAUUAAAAUUGACUUCUAGCUUGAUCCUUCUCUUCAGUUUAAUUGUGACAAAUCUGUCCAUUGUUUAGUUAUUAAUUAAUUUAACACCAAUUAUGGAUGCUGCCAGGAUUAAGAUGAAGCUGAUUAUAGUGCUAAAAUAAGAGUGAAAACGUUAAUUAUGCUUGGUUUUAUCCAUCAACCUGUUAACUGGAUCCUGUCACUAACCCAUUCAGCGGCAACAACAGUCCGCAUUAUUAAUUUCUUGGUUUUCUCCCUAACAAUUGGAAACAAAAUUAAAUCAAUCUGGUUAUUAUACAACAUUUAAACAGCUCUUCAUCAUAAUCAUCUUCAUCUUAAUUGGUUGUUAGUUAAAUAUUAAAAGGCCUUCCGGUUGGUUAAAUGAUGAUGAUCCUUAUCAAUGAAUAGGAACUUUUCAUGUUUACCAUAACUUGGAGGAAGAAAGUUGAACUGGAAAGAGAAGGAAAACAAAAACAAAACGAGUUCAAUAAUGAAGAUGAUAAUCAUAAUUUUAUUUAAAAUAAUGGAAAAGAAACAAAAUGUUGCUUAUAAAGAUGGAUAACAACUUGUUGAUAAAAUAAAUAAAGAUGGAGAUGAGCUUCCUCAUGAGAAUAUCAAUUUUGAUGAAAAGGUGAUAUUGGAAGCUGCUGAGUGAAAUUGAACUUAAUUUUAAUAACAUUUUGCAAAACUUCAUUAUUUAGUCCAAAAUCAAUAUCAAACAUUUGCCCUCGCGAUCUACUUUAAGUUCACCUGAAUUUUUGAUUAGCUGAUUGUUAAAUUUGUUAUGCUGGCUAUAAAAAAAUUUUCUCACAAUUUUCAUUUUGCUGCUUCAUCAUGUGCUUGGGAAAUCGUUAUUUUCACUUAAUUUCUUUUAUCUCACCUGAACGUGCUGACGGAAAAAGCAAACAAAAUGAAACUCUAAAUUAUCAAGAUUAUAUUUCAUGAUACUGAGCAAACAAAGGCAGAAACAAAAUGAAGUUAAAAAUCAUUUUAUAAGGACAAUUAAGGCUUUAAAAAUGGUUAGAGACACCAACAAUGAAUCAAUGCAUAUCAACCUGAUUUAGUGUUUCAAGUUUAACAAUGAUUUACUUCAAUCAAACUUGUUGAUUCAAUUCUCCUUUAUCGCCAUAUAAGUGACCAUCAUAAAAGUUGAACUCUGUCAGAGGUUCGAUUGUAUGCUAAAACUGUACACUCACACACAAUCAUCAUUUAUAAAUGACCAGCAAAAAGAAAUGAAGGAAUCAAAUCGUUAACCAACAUUUUCCAUCACAAUUACCACCUUAACUCUUAAUCUUGAUGGAUAUCCAUUAUUGGUGUUUCUUUAAUCAGUUAAAUCCACACAUAAAUUUCAACCUUUAAUUUGAUUUAACUUUGGAUGGCUUAUUGUUUCUGUCUGAAAUACUUGUUUACCUUUCAUCCAAAAACUUGGUUAAAACAGAAGAGUCAAAAUGUAUUUACAAUUUUACUCUCUCUCUCUCUCAUUGACAAUACCAAUCGUUUGGUGAUUGAUGAUGAAUUGUUAAUCAACAUUGUAACAUUAUGGUAAUUUGAUUGGCUAAGCUAAAUAAGGUUCAAUAUAGCCGUCUGUUUAUUUAGCCUUGCGAUGCCAUCAGUUCUGGAACGUCUUACAACGAAUAGGAACCCAGAUGUUAAUCGAUAAAAUAUCUUUUCAUGACUGACUGAAUUAUGGAUGGCCUGGAAUCGAUGAAAAAGGUUAACCUGGAAGUCUAAGGUGUUGGUCGAGUAAACAAGAACAAUUUAUGAAUGGAAAACUAAACGACUCCACCGAUUACAUUGAUUUCCCAUAACAGUUCAUUGAAUUGCUGACUUGAGAGAAUCACGAAUCAUGUUCACCAUUAAAACGCAAACAGUUGGUUGGAUUGGUUGGAUUCCAGUCAGGAAACUCAAUAAAUUGCUGAAUCGUUUUGUGGACUGAAACCUAAUGAUGAGUCUCGUUCUGUUGAACAAUUAUCCUCUGAACUUGAAUCAAGCCCAAACUAAAUGAAAGGAAAAUGGUUUUUCAAAUGAAAGUUGAUAUGAAAAUUGGUUCACUCAAUUGACUGUAAUCAUGAUAAUUUGUAUAGAAAUAUUAAUUAGUAUUUUUAACCUAAUUUUUUCAUUUCAA